CAAGGAACAAUGUGACCAGGAUUUACAAUGAUUGAAGCUUGCAAUCUUAGGCAUGUCAUAGAUUUAUGACAAAUACACACCCACAUUAUGAAUGAGAACUUUUAUAUGCACACAAUCAGCACUCUCAAAGAGGUUACUAGCAGACAAUUGAAGAAGCAAGAGUGAAGAAAGUGCCCCAAAAAAGGAGAUGGUCAGCAUAAGCAAUGCUAGGAGAACAACAACAUAAGGUGUAAUCACAAUUUAGGCUAGGGCUACGAUGAGUUUGUUCUUUG
Molecule: long non-coding RNA, 272 nt
Filed under: Phoenix dactylifera (date palm)
Lineage: Eukaryota; Viridiplantae; Streptophyta; Magnoliopsida; Arecales; Arecaceae
Description: long non-coding RNA (PDAC_LNC014436)
Source: RNAcentral